CAACAGCCUUGUUUUCUUUUAGGGAGCCCCUUAAAUCAGCAAAGUCAGGCUAAGUCAGCAACCAGCUAUCUUAGCACAAAGACUGAAAAUAAGGGAAAACAGCUAGCCUGGCAAUGCCUAAAGGUCACAAAAUCCACCGACCAGCACAUCUAAUGCUCACUGAUCACCAUGUUAUGUAUUGUUUGGAGCAGUUGCAAGGCAACCAACGGAGACUUCAAAACAGAUCAACAGAAAAAAACAAAACCAAAAACACAACAUCUUUUUUCUCUAAUUUUUAACUCAUAAGGUCAAUUAAAAUGUCAAACUAUAUCCUUUAAAAAAAAUUGGAAAUGCUUCUGACACAGCAGUAGUGUUGCCAUGCAACUGGCUGCGUCCUUAAAUUUUUAUUUGUAGCCUACUAAUGAGAGAAGCACAAAAAAGGAGUGUAUGUAGGACAAUACAGUAGUGUGAUAUUUAAUUAGUGUUAUAUUGUAAAGUACAGCCAAAAAUAACAAUAUAGGCUACUGAUUUAAUAGGGCCUAUUGGCUGAAACAUCAAGUAUGCUGACGUGACAAGUAUAAACAAACAUUGUGGUUAGCUUGUUCAUUUUUUGGUAGGCUGAGCCUACACUGACACAAAUCGGAAGAGACAGGCAUCAGAAACACAGCGGCAAGAGUUUUUCGCCUGGUGCUUAGACAAGAAGAGGUGAUGAUGACGACCACGAUAAAGGUUUACCUAAUUAUAUGCAUUGUCGGUGCUGCCGUCGUUUUAUCAAAUGGAGACGAUGAUUAUGAUGGAACUAAUCAUUCAGAUUUUUUCUCUGGCAGUGGUGACUUCUCCCUAUUCAUACCAGACAACCUUUUUGACCUCUCACAACUAUGGCCAGAUGAAGACAACCCACCAUCUCUUUCCUCCUCAGCUACCAGCAACAUCAGGGGCUCAUCUUGUUCCUCCUCCACAGCUAACCUCAACUACUUUUUUCCGGUCUCUGUUCUCUCGGGUUUGUGCAUGUUCGCAUAUUAAAACACAUUUUACGUCAUGUUUGUGGUAACGUUUGUUGUACUUGUAAACACAAUGUAGACUUUUAUUAACCAUUAUGUGAAAAGGCUUAUUUUUAACCUCCUCCUGUGAAAGUACAGGAUUGUUUGGUGAUAUGAUCGUGUUGUGUCUGUCUGCAGAUGAAGUCACUCUAUUCGUCUAUUUCUUGUAUAGAAAAUGUUCUCAACCUUAUUUCAGUAUUUCUAUGGUUUUAACUCCUGUACAUUUAUAUUAUCACUGUAGUUAACUUAAGAACUCAAAGUCCUAUGAGCCUGCUUCCGCUGAAUGACUGAAGCUAAGCAGGUUUGGGCUUAGCUAGAAUCUGGAAGGCAGACCUCCAGGGAAAACUAAGUUGCUGCUGGAACAGAUGUAGGUGGUCCAGUAGGGGGCAGUCUUCCCUCUGGUCCUAAUAGUAAGAUCCCAAUACCCCAGUGCAGUGAUGGGGACACUGUGCUGUAGAGGAUGUUGUCCUUUGGAUGAGACGUUAAACCAAGGUCCUGACUCAUUGUGGUCAUUAAAAAUCCCAUGGCACAAAGAGUAGGGGGUUCCCCGGUGUCACGGAAAAAUUCCACAUCCCCCCCAGAGUAACUGGCUCAAUGUUUCUCUCCCUCAAGCUGAUGUGUGGUGAGUGUUCUGGCGCAAGUUGGCUGCUGGGCAUCACCCAGGUUGGUGCUACACAUUGGUGGUGGUUAAGAUGACCCCUCCCCACUUCACUUAAUGACUGCUUCUGUGAUUUCAAAAACUGUUUGUUAAAAUAUUCCCUCGAUCUGAUCUCAAACAAAACAGAGAUACUAGUUUUUGGGUCCAAGAAUAUGGCAAAACAAAUUCUGCUAUCUGCUGGUUAUGUGUUGGAUCAUGUCCAGUCUGUUGCGAGGAAUCUUGCUGUCUGGUUUGACUGUAAUUUAAGUUUCGAGCAGCACACCACAAAGUUUGUGCAAUCGUGUUUUUAUCAUCUUAGAAUUAUGUGAAAAAUAUGAUAGAUAACUUUUAAUUUCUGUUUUUUAAUUUUAAUAAAAAAUUUUUUAACCUAUUUUGAUUCUGAGCUUGCGUAGUUAAGCACAUUGGCUUCAUCUUUGUAUGAAAUGUGUUACAUAAAUAAAGUUAAUAUUGUUAUUGUGAAAUUGUUGCUUU
This is a long non-coding RNA of Micropterus salmoides (largemouth bass), 2148 nucleotides long. RefSeq lists it as uncharacterized. The record is from RefSeq and is a predicted model, not a curated record. NCBI's taxonomy places the organism in Eukaryota, Metazoa, Chordata, Actinopteri, Centrarchiformes, Centrarchidae. The transcript has 3 exons.